Mytilus californianus (California mussel) is the source of this 241-nucleotide long non-coding RNA. RefSeq lists it as uncharacterized. The record is from RefSeq and is a predicted model, not a curated record. The transcript has 2 exons. Lineage: Eukaryota; Metazoa; Mollusca; Bivalvia; Mytilida; Mytilidae.
GUUAGCAUGAUUAGACGUACCAAAAUUUAGGAUAGAUUUUCAGAAAUGCAGAUUAAAAUUGAGAAUGGAAAUGGGGAUUAUAUAGAAGAAUAUAAGCUUAGAAAUGAUUCAAACCAUCCUGGAGGAGCAAAUUUUAUGAAGAAGCCAGCAGAUGUCAAAAGAAAUAAAAAGAAUGGAACAAAAGAAACUUUGAAAAAGAACAGUGAUACGAAAAUAUUGAAUAAAUGUUUUGCAUUUAUAA